This 1160-nucleotide long non-coding RNA is filed under the name Nicotiana benthamiana. RNAcentral's name for it is "long non-coding RNA (NBEN_LNC008049)". Lineage: Eukaryota; Viridiplantae; Streptophyta; Magnoliopsida; Solanales; Solanaceae. The record is from RNAcentral.
GUGAAGUCAAAAUAACAAACGCGUGCAUCGCUUUCGAAAGUUUAUUUUGACUUGUCUUGAUAGAAUUUACCCCUAAAUUUUGAAUAUGUUGUUGUGGUGAAAUUUAUAAUCAUGUACAAUAAGGGGAUUGUAGUUUUGAUAAUACUAGGUUGAGAUAAAAUUUUCUAAUGAGAACAUGUAGUAUUAUGAUUUCGAAGCACUAGAUGUUUGAGUUCCGAUUCUUUAGGAAGAAGCUACUUGUGAUUUCAUCGCGCCUACGCCAAAGAAUGAAUAUUUUUUUGAGAUGUGCCAAGUUCUUGCUCGACAAGGUUGGAAAGGACUGCUCCAAGUAGUGUUGAUUUCGCCAAGUUACAAAAAUAAGACACGCCAUUUGCUCGUUUGCAACAAAGCAUGUGGUUGCUCCUACUCCAAGCCUCUUCGAGCCAAUCCGCAAGGAUGAGAUAUGCCACGUGCUCGUUCAUCAAGGGCAGAAUUCGGUCACCGCAAGCCUCUUUCUCACCAAGCCUCAAUGAAGGAACGCUUCAUCAAGCCUUCUGUGACAAAUUGUAAGAAGAGAGUGCUCCGUCUACUUCGUCACAGUUACUUGAAAUGCUAUGUACAUCUUCGGCCCACUAUAAGAAGAGGAUGCUCCGUGAAUUUGUUGGCCAAGUUGCAAGACGUCAUCUACUCAGAGGCUCAAUAGAUACAAAGUCUUCACGCACCUCUUUGCCUGUAAAAAAAACAAAAACAUAUAGUUAAACAUGUUUCACUUUGGGGAGAGCGCAAAGUUGAAGGAGUUUGCAUGUCGAAACUAGUCGGUCAACUUCUAUAAGAUAUCUAGGAAGAUAUAAGGUCAAUAUUAUUAUGAUAUUUAUAUAUUUUGUAGCUCUAGAAGCUAGUUCCCGACGCCACAAAUCACUCGUGAUUUUGACGUUGCUACACCAAUAUAUAUGUCUUUUGCUGAAGGUGUGCAAAGCUGUAAAUUUGAGCACGGCAACAUUCGAAACGAAAUUUCAAAAUAGUACAUGAGAAGCUACAAAAGGAAUUUCACCCCAAAUUUUUUAUAUGUUGAAGUACUUGAAGUGAAGUGUCAAGACGAUCAAACAGCUUGUGUUUUUGAUGAUCCUAGGACAACAUAUGAUUGUUUUCUCUAUAAAUGCCUAAAGAUGACUAUCCCGAAC